AACGCACCUUGCGCUCCUUGGUAUUCCGAGGAGCAUGCCUGUUUGAGUGUCAUGAAAUUCUCAACCUUUCUGAUUUCUAAUCGGUUAGGCUUGGAUUUGGAAGUUGCUGGCUCGCUUCGAAUCAGCUCUUCUUAAAUAUAUUAGCAAUGACCUUUGCUGCUCAUCAUUGGUAUGAUAAUUAUCUAUAUCAUUGAUAGUCAGUGUCCUUCACGGGAGAGGCCUCGCUUCUAAUGGUCUUUUUAAGACAAUUUGACAACUUUUGACCUCAAAUCAGGUAGGAUUACCCGCUGAACUUAA
This 297-nucleotide unclassified non-coding RNA is filed under the name uncultured fungus. RNAcentral describes it as "sequence contains ITS2". The stretch from base 1 to 52 matches the Rfam family "5.8S ribosomal RNA", at positions 103 to 154 of the family's 154-position model. Lineage: Eukaryota; Fungi. The record is from RNAcentral.